UCCUAGCUCCUCCCACUCGCAGACCUCGAGUAUUCUCUCGGGCCGUUGCUCGGGCAGCGCCUGCCCCAGGGUGCCCCAUUCCCCCCGGGCGCUGCCAGCGCACGCUCAGAGCCGGGCAUCCGCCAGCAGCAGGGCCGGCUCUCGGGGUGACUUGUUAAGUGAGAAGUGGGGGAUGCUUCAGCGCUAGAGGUGAUGGUGGCCGCUUCCCUCCGGGAUGGUGCUUGGUCUCUACAGCCUGUUCGGGGCUAAAUCCCUUGUGCUCGCUUACUGCCCAGUUCAGUAGUAGGGAGGUGCCGCUAUGGGCACCUGUGUUUGUGUUUUUGCUUUUGUUUUUCAACAUUCUUACAUUGUUUAAAAGAAAGUGGGCUGGUUUCAGUCCUCUUAUUAAAAGACAGGCUCAAAUCACCAUUGCCCCGCACUGUAGACAGCCGUAAAAGCCUUGGCUAGAUUAGGGUUGAGCAGUAUGGUGUCAGAUUGUGUUAGCCAACUAACAGCUUCUAGCCCUCUGCUCAAGACGACAAGGUUUCCUAAUGUGAGGAGAGGAAAGAGAAGAGAGGGGUUGAGGCCUGAGGCAGGAGCCAUUGCUGUCCAGAGGAUGGAAGGAGAAAGGGGUGGUAAGUAGCAGUAAGGGGCUUCCACACAGAUGACUCUCCCUGUAUGCCUCCCCCACAAAAAACCCCAAACUAUAUGGAUUACUAACAUCCAGGCAUUUUGGUUCAAAAUCACCAGCAGCUUCUGCAGUGGACUGGGAGAAGCAACCCCCGCAAUGGAUAAAUGAAAAGGGUUCUGCACAUUCCAAGAUCCAAAAAGCUCAUUUAUGAACACGUUGAACAGCACUGGUCCCAGUACAGACCCCUGGGGACACCACUAUUUACCUCUCUGCAUUCUGAAAACUGACAGUUUAUUCCUACCCUUUGUUUCCUGUCUUUUAACCAGUGAGAGGAUCUUCCCUCUUAUCCCAUGACUGCUUAGUUUGCUUAAGACCUUUGGUGAGGGACCUUUCUGAAGGGACCUGUUUGUUUGGCAGGUUUCCUGUUUCUGAUGUAGUGAACAUUUUUUUUGCUGUUAGUUUUUGAGUCAGCUACUAGGUGCUCUUCCAAUUAUUUUUUGCUUGCCUAAUUAUGUUUUUAUACUUGACUUGCCAGAAUUUAUGCUCCUUUCUAUUGUCUAUUAGAAAAUGUUAAACAGAAAAAGUUCUCUUAAGGAAUUUAUUUAAAAGGAGAGUUUCUGGAAUAACUAGGGUAAAGCAAACCUGCGAGUAUAUUAAUCUCCACAGUGAAUUUUCCAUAAUAAAUACAUACAAACUGAUAACAAGCAGUUUUAUUUCUUGGUAAUUCAUGAUUUAACAAUGAAUUUAAAAAUUAACACAAUUUUUCCCAUCAUUUUGGCUCUUUGAAGGUCAAACCCUCCUCCCUGUUUUAGUGUAGUAUAAGUAUAAAAUUAAAGUUAGUUUGUUUCAUUAAGAAAAUAUAUAUAUGUUGUAAAGAAAGGCCCUGACUAACAAGUAGAAGGAAAACCUUGAAAAUAAUAAGGACAGAAGGAAUAAAGUCGGGAGGAUGUCUGGUUCAAAGACUAACUAACAAGGUAAGGGGAAGUUUCUAAAAUGAAGGCCUCUGGCCAAUAGGGGUGACUACAGAUGGUUGUAAAUUAAAGAGAAUCUGUCUUAAAAUGAGCCAACACAGCCAUUCCCCAACCCAACAUUAGUGUUAAAGCCUCUGUGAACCCAGAUAAAAUUGGGCAGCAAGGAGGAGAGGAAAGGCCUUAGGAAGAAAGAAGGUUGUAAAUCUUAUCUAGAUUAAGACUGGAAAUAAGGGUGAACUGUCUCCAAUUGGUUUUAGAGUAGCAGUCGUGUUAGUCUGUAUCCGUAAAAUGAAAAGGAGUACUUGUGGCACCUUACCUGAAGUCAGUAAUUGGCAGUGACAUCACUAGUUUGUUAAAGGGUAUAAAAAGUAAACCCUUAAAGGGUUCAUUGCUAGUAGUUGCCUGACCAUGCUGGAGUCAACCAAUAUGGGUCUAGCACUCCUGGGUUUAGCCCAUUAGUAAGUAUCUUGAUCAAAUGCUAUUAAAUGUUUUGUUACUGCUUGGAUGUAGUAAAUUGCUUAUUGUUUGGUCUUUUUAAGCAUAUAUAGAGCAACUGCAUAAAGUACCAUUUGGCUUUGGAUUGAAUAAAGAAAUGUAUGGCUAAAUUGGUGUUUAGAAUUAUUAAUGGGAAAAUCACCAAUGCCUAGUGAUAUUAAAGGAAGCUGAGAAGCUGGUUAUGACAAGUCUUCCUUAAAAUUACUCCUAAUACCAGAGCACAGCACCAGUGCCCCCUCAAAAUCUGCUGCUGGAGUGGGAGCAGGCUGCCAGCAGUCUUUGGGCAUAAUCUGAUUCUACAACAAGGAGAAAGAUGCUGGUCACUAGUGGACUCCUUCAGGUUUCUUCAGCAGCAGAGCCUACUGGUAUAAAACCCCUCAAGGAUUGUGCUGUUCACGGGGUUUGGCAUAGAUUUUUAUUCUGAGCUCUUGCAGUUCUUAUCUGUUGCUCACCGUUCUGUACCUUUUUGUUUCAUGCUUCAAGGCAGCAAUAUCUCCCAGAACUAAUUCAGUAUCUUUUUAAGGUUCUGAGCCUAACUGGGCACAGCUGAUCUGAUUACUCCCUAGCUGGGAGUUCCUCCCUGAGCUGACUUUUAAAACUUCUGCUUGGCUAUGACCCAAAGAGCCCCAUGCCACUUAUACAGCCUUUUUUUGUAUAGCCUCCUGCACAUCCUCUGUUCCUGAAGACUCUGAGAUUCUGUUUAAUUUGCAAGCCUCCAUCUCUGUCAGACUAUGACAUAGUUUCUCUUGGUUCCACAUGCCUUUUUUUCUGCUUGAUUCUCAGGAGUGUAAUUCUUCUUUUCCCUGCCACUACAUUUUAUUUUUAAAACAAUACAAGGGGUCAUUCCCUUACUGAUCACCUGCAGCAAGCACUGUUCUUUAAUGCAGGAGCUGAGGAAAAUCAGUUCACCAUCACCCCAUUGUAACUGUUUCAUGCCUUCUCUCUGUAAAGAACUAUUUUUUUCCCCCUUCCCCAACUCUGGUCCUCCUGCAACAAAAAAACAAGCCCCCUACCUCUUUUAAACUAGGGGAAAAUUUCUAUUCAUUCUUUGUAGUGUGCAGUCUGUAACACGCUGUUGAUUAGUCCUGAUUCCAUCCAGAAGAGAACACUGUUAUCGUAUUUUUAUUUUAUUAAAACUUCAUAAACCAUUUUAAAACUGAAACAAAAAUAAUUUUUAAAGUACCAGAGGUUCCCUCUUUAUCAACACAAACCAUCCCAUUCUUUCCCAUCACUGGCUUCUGUCAUGUUUGAAUAUAACAAUAGUGACACCAGUUCCAGAAAGUUUUGAUCUUUGCUAUGAGAAUCUGGUAAAUUGCCAUCCUUGCCUACCUGCUUCCUUGUUUUUUUUAUGGAUGGUGACUGAGGAGAAUGGGUGGUGGUCAACUCCAGAAGCAUCUCUCACCAGCAGCUUGUGUGAUAAUUUCCAGUGUGGCUCCUUUGCUCAAGGUUACACUGAUCUGGGGACUUGUUUCAUUAUUAUUAUUGCUAGGUUGAUUGACACUUUUAAUCAUGAAUUCCUGUUAUAGUGAAUGAGCAUCUGUAUUUCCUUGGUACAGCACUCACUUAGUUUUAUUUUUUUUUAAUUUAAGUACAGUGACUCAAAGUAUAUUAUGGAACAUAAAGACCAGAGGCUGUGUAACUCAGAAAAUAGUGGCCAUAAAGCAAUCAAACAUAAAUAACUCCUCUCACACCAGCCCUCAGAAGGGCACAUCUAUCAAUGUUCUGACUUGUUACAAUAUACAAAGGAUGGGUGCCAAGUGUUCUUAAAUUCAGCAAGCUUAUUAUGAAGUCUUGCUCCAAGGAAGUAAUGUCACACUCCUGUCAAGUUCAGUAAUAUGAAAACCUUUCCAAAAUUUCAUCAUCUAUGUCUAGCAGCAUAGAACAAAUGUCUUUUAAUUGAUCCCAUAUAUCUCUUAGCCCAAAGCCCAACAGUCACCUAGGCAGCUCCAAAAGAGUGACAAGUUAGGAUUCACAGAACGUUGGAAUGCUUUCUGUAGUGAGGAGGACUGUUGGGUAUGAUCUGGUUUAGAGUGGUGUUUAAUAUAAAGGAAUGAAAUCUUGCCCAGAAUAGCACAGGCAGGGGGUAAAUGAUGCUGUCUAGCACAUCCUCAGCAAACAGACUUCAACCAACUAUGGCAGAAGGAAUAAACCAUAAUUGCCCCCUCAGCUGGCAAGGUCAUGUGACGAGUAAAGAAUCCCCCCCCCAGUUGUUUUUCUAACAUUAAACAAGGAACUUUUAGUCUACAGAAACUAUGCUCUCCCUCUUCUAACAAGUAAUUACCUAUUAUGUACUUAUUGCUGAGAAGAUGGCAGUUUCUGUCUCUCUCUCCCUUUGAUUCAUUGUUGAGCUUUUGUUUAGAACAUUUUAUUUUCUGCCUCCCACUUGGUUUUCUGCUAUAGUUUUAAGGAAGUAGAACACCUAUCCACCUAUGGUUGGUGCUGGAAUUAGAGCUGCUGGGAUUUUAUUUCCCAUUCCUCUUUCUAGGGAGGGAACAGGUGGGUGGGAUCUUCACAUCUCUCCCAGCCCUGGAAGGAGCUCAUGAGCAGGGGAUCUUCUCUUUCAUUCCAUAGUCCUGUAGAGGGAUCUGUGGCAGAUAGAAGCAGAUGGGAUUGCUUGCAGGAGAAGAUUGUUGGGUUAGAACAGGGAAUGCUGUUGGCUCGACCUUCACCUCACCCAUAUUGGGUGAGAGAUUGGUAAUAUCAGUGAUGUUGGAUCAUAUUAAAGAAGUUCUGUAUUAAAAUCACAAAUGAGUUUGAUUCCCCAUAGUUUAAAUUCCAGGGUAUUACUAAUUAAGAGGGAGGUCUCUUGGUUUUUGCCUGCUAAUUGUGUUAGUACAUCCUAAAACAGAGUCUGUUCUCAAAGCAAUACUUUGUAACAAUGACUACUCACACACAGAGACUCAAAGCGUUACUUUGUAAUAACAGAAACAGCACAAAGAGGCUCCCCACCCUUUUGUUGUAUUUAUCUCGCUUUGUUAACAAUUGUGAUUAAAAUAGAGAUAGAGGAUGUAUGUGGAUGGAUGCUUGGUGUGGAUAAUAAAUGAAUGAUCAGGGAGGUGCCAGCCUAAGAAUCCAGUGUCCAUCGGCUGAAGAAGGCGUCAAGUGGAAACAACCAGAGGACCCCCGGAGGGCAGACUGGAAUCCAACAGCCUCAAGGAUAGGAGAACCGAAGAACAAGAUAACAUCUGGCAGCAUGGAGCCAUCAGGAAUGUGCCAUCUGCUGAUUGAUUCAGGAACAGCAUGAUGAAGCAAUUCCCACAGACUGGCAUAGGAAGAAAUUCCUAUAAAAGUGGACUCUAGAAAGUGAGAACUUUGGGGUCUGAUUCUGCAAACCAACUUCCAGGAGCAUCAGAUGAGCAUCUGACAAGGUCCUGCUCCCUCCUUGUGUCCAGGCCGCCUGGCCAGUGGCUUGGCACAAGCAACUCUAAGGCUGGUAACUAUGAUAACAACCUUGCAGAACCUGUGUGUGUGUGUGUAUGAAUGAAUGUGUGAAUAAAUAUGAAAUUGAAUGGAAUGUUAUAGCUAUAACUAACUGCUUACUAUGAUUCUUUCUGUAUUCACAAUAAA
Molecule: non-coding RNA, 5643 nt
Organism: Caretta caretta (loggerhead turtle)
Lineage: Eukaryota; Metazoa; Chordata; Testudines; Cheloniidae
Source: RefSeq, a predicted model, not a curated record